This 253-nucleotide ribosomal RNA is filed under the name uncultured bacterium. RNAcentral describes it as "partial 16S ribosomal RNA". It matches the Rfam family "Bacterial small subunit ribosomal RNA", at positions 524 to 776 of the family's 1533-position model. The record is from RNAcentral.
UACGUAGGGGGCGAGCGUUGUCCGGAGUUACUGGGCGUAAAGCGCACGCAGGCGGUUUCGUACGUCUGGAGUGACAGUUCCCGGCUCAACUGGGAAAGGUCUUCGGAAACGGCGAGACUUGAGGGCUUCAGAGGGACACGGAAUUCCGGGUGGAGUGGUGAAAUGCGUAGAGAUCCGGAGGAACACCAAUGGCGAAGGCAGUGUCCUGGGAAGCAUCUGACGCUCAGGUGCGAAAGCUAGGGGAGCGAACAGG